Molecule: long non-coding RNA, 2454 nt
Organism: Parus major (Great Tit)
Lineage: Eukaryota; Metazoa; Chordata; Aves; Passeriformes; Paridae
Exons: 3
Source: RefSeq, a predicted model, not a curated record
UGGCUGCACACUAUUAUUAGGGGCAGUCCUGUAUAAUUUUCACAAUUAUAGUAUAUGUCAUUUCAUACUUGUGGACUGCCAACAAGAGAGCACUGUCCACCCAGAAGAAAAAUACUGCCUGUAAUCACUUUCAAGGGCUGAGAGAGGCAAAUGUUUACUCACAGGCACAGCUUUUCUGACCGUGAAUAGUCCCCGUGCUUUCAAAGGGAUUAAGCCUGCUAAUCAAUGAAAGCAGGAGUCCAAGGACAAGCAACAAGAUUCAUUGAUGCCCUUCCUUGACAUUUCAGGACCAGAACCACUAACAGAUACUGUAGAGAAGCUCACUGUGCACAUUUUUAAUCCACAUCAUAUACAUAAGCGUAGUAUGUUCAUAAACCGAGGGAGUAGGAUAUUGUUGACCUGAAUGACACUGAAAGCAUUUGCACUCACAAAAAAAUGUAAUGAUCUCCCUUCUAAUAAAGCAACACAUGAAUAAAGCAACAGCAUAAACUAGGGCUGAAAAUCAUAAAAUGGAUUCAUAUGGAUUCCUCCAUAAUAUGGAGGAUCAUAAAAUGCUAGAAUAUCCUGAAUUAAAAGGGUCCCACACAAGGAUCAUCCAGUCUAACUCAUGGCCCUUCACAGCACUAUCCUCAAGAGUUACACCAUGUGCCUGAGAGUGUUGUCCAGAAGCUUGCUGAACUCUGUCAUGUUUGGUGAUGUCACCACUGCCCUGGAGAGCCUGUUUAAUUGCCCAACCACCCUCUGAAUGAUGAACUUUUUUCUAAUAUCCAGCCUAGAUCUCUCCUGAAACAACUUCAGGCCCUGUCACUGUUAACACAGAGAAGAGAUCAAUGUCUGCCUGUCCUCUUCCCCUCAUGAGGCAGCUGUAACUGCAAUGAGGUCUCCCCUCAGUCUUCUCUUCUCCAGGCUGAACAAACCAAGUGAACUCAGCAACUCCUUGUGACUUCCCCUCAAGGCCCUUCACCAUCUUUGUUGCCCACCUUUGGACAUUUUCUAAUAGUUUAAUGUCUUCCUUUUAUUGUGGCACCCAAAACUACCCCCAGGACUUGAGCUGAGACCGCCCCAGUACACCCUUGCUUGGCUGGUCAUGCUGUGCCUGAUGCCCCCAGGACAGGGCUGGCCCUCCUGGCUGCCAGGGCACUGCUGACUCUUGUUCAGCUUUCUGUUGAUCAGGAUCCCAAGGGCCCUUUCCAUGGUGCUGCUCUCCAGCCUCUCAUCCCCCAGGCUGGCUGUAUAUCCAGAAUUGCCCCACCCCAGGUGCAGAAUCCAGAACUUUUCCUUAUUCCAUUCAUAUAGUUGGUGAUUGCUCAGUCCUCUCAUUUGUUGAGGUCUCUCUGCAGGCCUCUGCCCUUGAGGGAGUCAACAGUUCUUCCCAAUUUAGCAUCAUCUGCAAACUUACAUAGUAUCCUAUGGUCUUUAUAGCAAAAAUGACUUAAUUUUAUUUAAGAUUAUUUGGGGCCAUAUUGAAAUAGUAAGGCAUCUCCCUUCUGACCAAGACUGUCACAAGCAGCAGCAUACAAUAGAAGGCUAGACUAGGAGCCAGCAGGCUGAGUUCAAAUCCUUCUCUUCUUGAUCUGCUCAGCAGAAUGAAGAGGACGUCUCCUGGGGACUGGAGCUGUGCAUAUGCUGCAGACAACUUUCCUUUGGCUGAAGACUACAGAGAGCUAGACUGGCGUUAACAGCUGCCUGAAGCACAGGUUACAGUAAAGUAUAUCGUGUUCAUAUCAUCGUUACAUACCUUGGAUUCCACUGUAAGCCUGAAGCCUGGGAGUGAGGAGAACUCUUUGGACCAUAAAUACAUUAGCUCGGCGCAAUGAGCUAUGUGAAUUUGUCCUUCAGUUAAGGGAAAAGGAGAAAGGACUUUCAUUCCACAGUGGUAUUCUUGAGACUGCUAUAGUGCAAAUCAAGACAGGAUUUUUUCUCUUGUCCCAGAAAACUUGGAGACAUUUCUGUCUGUAACAGAUACUACUGAUAUUCUCAAUACAUAUAUAUAUCUGAGGCAAGGCUAAGUGUAAAUCUUCAUUCACAAUCAAACUGAAAUAAUAAUUAAUGAGUAUGCUUAUAGCUGUGCCUGCAAUAAUAGUUCUUUAUUAUUCAAUGUGCAUUUUGUAGAGUAUUGGCAAUUUUCUUAAGGGAGAAUAGAAGAAAAAUUGUAGAAACAAGUAAGAGAUAAUUAUUAGAAACCCAGGGAAAAGAGAACUUUGGCUUUUAUGAUGCUUGGAUACUGUAGAGAGAAAAUGGACCAAAGGCCCAGAGAAUCAAGGGUGAGGAUUAAAAAAGGCAUGAUGCUUUUAUGAGGGAAGGACUUGGCAGCAAAAGAAAUGGUUCACCUUCCCUAAUACUGAAUUUUUCAUAUGGCCAAAAUGAGCAUAAGAGGUAAAAAUAAAGCCAGAGGUAGAAAUUCUAGCUGAGAAUGGAUCCAAGAGAUUCUUCAUUAUUGUUGUUGUUGUUUUU